This 494-nucleotide ribosomal RNA is filed under the name uncultured bacterium. RNAcentral's name for it is "partial 16S ribosomal RNA". It matches the Rfam family "Bacterial small subunit ribosomal RNA", at positions 28 to 507 of the family's 1533-position model. The record is from RNAcentral.
GACGAACGCUGGCGGCGCGCUUAACACAUGCAAGUCGAACGGAAAGGCCUGCUUUCCCUUGUGGAUUGCGGGUACUCGAGUGGCGAACGGGUGAGUAACACGUGAGUGAUCUGCCCCCAACUUGGGUAUAAGCCUGGGAAACUGGGUCUAAUUCCCGAUAGGACUGCAGGGUGGUGCCUGUGGUGGAAAACGAUUUUCUAGUGGUUGGGGAUGAGCUCGCGGCCUAUCAGCUUGUUGGUGGGGUAAUGGCCUACCAAGGCGGCGACGGGUAGCCGGCCUGAGAGGGUGGACGGCCACAUUGGGACUGAGAUACGGCCCAGACUCCUACGGGAGGCAGCAGUGGGGAAUAUUGCACAAUGGGCGGAAGCCUGAUGCAGCGACGCAGCGUGGGGGAUGACGGCCUUCGGGUUGUAAACUCCUUUCGACCGCGAGGAAGCCACCUGGUUGGAAGGGUGGUGACGGUAGUGGUAGAAGAAGCACCGGCUAACUACGUG